GGUCAUAUCUUGUUGAAACACCGGUUCUCGUACGAUCACCGAAGUUAAGCAGCGUCGAGUAUGGUCAGUAGUAUGAUGGGUGACCGCUAGGGAAUACCAGGAGCUGUAA
Non-coding RNA from Acanthosepion pharaonis, 109 nucleotides. The record is from the annotation of a GenBank genome assembly. Lineage: Eukaryota; Metazoa; Mollusca; Cephalopoda; Sepiida; Sepiidae.